Molecule: long non-coding RNA, 580 nt
Organism: Poecilia latipinna (sailfin molly)
Lineage: Eukaryota; Metazoa; Chordata; Actinopteri; Cyprinodontiformes; Poeciliidae
Exons: 2
Source: RefSeq, a predicted model, not a curated record
UUAUCCACAUUUCCUUUGUAAGGGACUCUCCCACUUGUAAAAUUUAGCUGCCAGCAAAAUUUACCCAGUGAGUCAUACAAUGUAGAUUUAAAGUGCAUAACACUAUUACUGCUGUUGCUAUUUGUGUAGUUCCUCUGUUGAUGAAAGUUUUUUGUGGCCUACUUAAAUGCUACAUAAAAUAUCCCAUGUUCUCUAUUCACCACAAAUGGGAGGCUGCAGCCACAACAGUCCAACACUUCAGAUAAUUGAGAGCAAAGAUGAGAGAUAAAAAACACACCAAUCUUAGCACUUUGAUGAAAGCUUUAAUACAAAAGAAUAGGACAAAUUGAGGACAUUAGAGUGUGAUGUAAAUUUAAUAGUCAGUGUAUGAUCUUAUACCCUGUGACAGACUGGCGACCUGUCCAGGGUGUGCUUAUCUCCAUAACGUUAGCUGGACAUAGGCAGCCCUCCUGACACCACUAAGGUACAAGGGUGUACAGAAAAUGAAUGGAUGGAGUGUCUGAUCUUACAGUUGAUGAAGAGUAAAAAAACAACUAAACAAAAUUAAUCCAUAAAUCCUAUUAGAAAAUCAUUAAAGUUU